GUAGGUGGCAAGCGUUGUCCGGAAUUAUUGGGCGUAAAGCGCGCGCAGGCGGGUUCUUUAAGUCUGAUGUGAAAGCCCACGGGCUCAACCGUGGAGGGUCAUUGGAAACUGGAGAACUUGAGUACAGAAGAGGAAAGCGGAAUUCCACGUGUAGCGGUGAAAUGCGUAGAGAUGUGGAGGAACACCAGUGGCGAAGGCGGCUUUCUGGUCUGUAACUGACGCUGAGGCGCGAAAGCGUGGGGGGCAAACAGGAUUAGAUACCCUGGUAGUCCACGCCGUAAACGAUGAGUGCUAAGUGUUAGGGGGUUUCCGCCCCUUAGUGCUGCAGCUAACGCAUUAAGCACUCCGCCUGGGGAGUACGGCCGCAAGGCUG
This 373-nucleotide ribosomal RNA is filed under the name uncultured organism. RNAcentral describes it as "partial 16S ribosomal RNA". It matches the Rfam family "Bacterial small subunit ribosomal RNA", at positions 527 to 896 of the family's 1533-position model. The record is from RNAcentral.